RNAcentral lists this long non-coding RNA (451 nucleotides) under Gallus gallus (chicken). The record is from RNAcentral. Lineage: Eukaryota; Metazoa; Chordata; Aves; Galliformes; Phasianidae.
GUGGUUUUCACCUUCUCUAUGAGGCAUGCUUGAGCGUGCUCAAUACAGAUUAAAAACAUGGAGGAGGCAACUUUAGAGCUCCCAAUGUGUUAAGUCAAAUCUGCUCCUGCUGCUGUUGGACCACAGAAAUGAAUGUAGAGGAUGGAACAUCCAUCCUGAUAACAGAGCAACAUACAGAUGAAUGGGAACUACACAAAGUAAACAAAAGAUGGGUAAUGCAGCACCCCAGCAGGAAUUGUAGAGCCGCCAACUGAAUUGUGUUGACAUUGUAAAGUCGCAUUCCUUCGGAAUAUAGAACAGUUCUCUUGCAAAAAAAAACCCAAAGUCAACAAAAAUGCAUUAUCAGAAUUCAGAAAGAAAGCAUUUUGAAUGAUAACAGUGCUUCUCUAAAAAAAUAAAUAAAUAGAGCAUUGGAAUGAGCUUUAGAUUUGAACAUUGCCUUGGAAUCCAG